Molecule: long non-coding RNA, 3239 nt
Filed under: Equus caballus (horse)
Lineage: Eukaryota; Metazoa; Chordata; Mammalia; Perissodactyla; Equidae
Description: lncRNA (ENSECAG00000047123.1)
Source: RNAcentral
CUUUACCUACUCUUUUUCUCCAUAGCCCUAAUCAUUGCCACCACUAGACUAUAAACUAUAAAAACAGGGCCUUUAUUCAAGGCUGUAUUCUUGCAUCUACAUAAUGCCCAGUCAGUGGUACACAUUUUUUCAUAUGUCUGAGCCAGAGAAAGGUUUACUGCAAAGCUAACGGAGCUUAACCUUCAGUCCUCUCAUUUGACAUGGGCUUCUGCAAGUACUGGGAAUUGUUGGAGGAUGUUCAGUAUUCUAGGUGGUGAGAGGGAAACCAAGUUAGCAUUAGGAAAUAGGUAAGCAUGAAUGGAAGAUUACCUGAAGGAGUAUCAGAAGAGACUUGAAUCACUGACUUCAUGGAUCCCCCAAAUUACAUAAGCACCACAAAACCAGCAUCUGCCAAAGUAGAUCACUCAGCUUUUCAGGAAGCAAACAGUAGAGGAGUUUGUUUGCAAUCAAGUAUUUUCUUCAAAGUAGGAUAUCCAGACCCUGCAUGACCACUCUUGAAUCAGAAAUCAUUUAUCCUAGCAACAUUUCCAUGUCUAAGCCACUUCCAGAGUUAUUGCCACAGCCAACAGGUCAUUGUUUCCAUCCCUCUGGCAUCCUGAACUCCAGAGGAGGAGUGGGGAAGGAGUCAGUUGCUCAAGAAUCUCUCAGGUAAGCCUUUUCUGGAUGUCCUCUGAGCAUGUGAAAAACGGAGGAGCAAAGAAAAUAAAAGAUCAAAUUCUCCUGGCCCAUCCAAGGUAAGCUAUAGGGUAUUCAGAAUACUAUGAUGUGUAUUCAUGUUCUGACCUCCAAUAAGGAAAUUUUGAUUACCUUGAUAGUUGGUGGAAAAGUAGAAUUGACAAAAAAUGGAUGGAUACAUAUAAGUUUUUGAGGACUCCUAACUUUGAGAUGGAGGGAAAUAAAGCAUAUCGAAAUAGGCAAUUUAGCAGUCCUGACCUCAUAGCAUUGCUAGUUAUUUUUUCAGCCAAACACAGAAGGUACUUACAAAAGAGAAGGGAAUGAUAAUUUAGAAAGUUUAUGUGGAUAAGGAGCUCAGAUAACUGGAGAGUAUAGACAGCAAACUGAAAUAGAAGAAAAAGAAUAAAGCAGUGGAUGAUAGGUGAAAAUUAUAUACGUAAUGGGUAACUUAGAUUGAUAAUUGAGGAUGGAUGGAGUGUUGAUGGAAAAACUGUACAGAAAUUUUUAAUUUGAAUAGAUUCACAGAUAGAUAAAAGGAUGGGUAAUAUAUUUAUUAAAUUAUAUCUGCAACAAAUCAUUUUUAUUUCCUGUUUAACAGACAAAAAAGAAAAUUGCUUUGAUGGAGUCCAAUUGCUAAGUGGCAGAUUACAGCUUUUCUAUAUUGUUAUGAAAAAUGGGGUUUCCAGAAAUUUCUAUGUUUGUCUUCAAAGAGAGCUGCAGCUUCGUGAUGAAAAGCCCCCUCUAACAUUGGACACGUGUUCUGCUGGAGGCCGCUCUAAAUCAUGGAAGCAAAUCCAUCCAAUGGGAGAAAUCUGCCUUAACAUCCCAGAAACAUUUCCACCUGUAAAUUCUGAGAUCUUAAAAUUAGAAUCUGCCUCCAAUUAUGACUUGACAGUACAUACAAGUUCCAGGAGAGCCCCAGCAAAGCAUGCAAUAACUGCAAUGGUGUAAACUGUACUCUCUCUCAGUCUCUCUUGGAUUUUGCUGCUCCAGGGGAAGCCAGCUGCCAUCCCAUGAGGCAGCGCGGAGGAGAAUGCCGCCAACAGCCAUGUGAGUGAUGUUGGAAGCAGAUUCUCCCAGUUGAGACGUGAGAUGAGAGCAACCCUGGCCGACACCUUGACUGAAGCCUCAUGAAAGACCUUGAAUGAGAACCACCUGGCUAAGCUGCUUCUGAAAUCCUGACCCACAGAAACUACACAAUAAGAAAUGUUAUUGCUUUCAGUUUUUAGGUUUUGGAAUAACUUUGGUAUACAGCAAUAGAUAACUGAAACAUAUCACAACAUAUUACACAUCAGAGACGGGGCUAAGCAAAUGAGAUCAUUUGCUUUUCACAACAACCCCACAAAAUAAGUACUGUUAUUAUCACCCUUUUAUAUAUUAGGAAGCUGAAGUACAAGGAAAUAAAAUAGUCAAGUGUGGCCUAUCUGGCUUAUGAAUGGAGUACCUGGGGAUUUAUCAAAGAAUCUCUAAAUACGGGGUCUAGCACGUAGUAUAUGGUGCUGAAUCUGUGUUGAUUGAUUCAACAUGAUCAUGUCCAAAAAACUGCAAUAAGAGAACAAAAACACAAGUUCUAUUAUUUACGUUCAACCAGAGCAGACAUGAGUUCCCCAUGAAGACUUAAUAUACCUCUUUUAAUGCAGAGUUCACGUGAGGCUUCUGGUUUUCUUCUCUCUAUGAUUAAUGCCUCUAGGAUCACGAUUCCCCACACUCAAGAGGUAAGACAAACCUGGCAGAGAUCCAAUAGUCUCUGUCAUUUACUAUGCCUGUCUGUAGACAUGGGGUCAUGGUCUAAGAGUCGUGAGCUGAAGGCAGCCUUACUUCCUUGACUCCUUAACCUGUUAGUCCCUGCUUGUUCUUCCAAAUUCUGCAUCCUUUAUCUUUCCAUUGUUUGGGACACACAAUUCCCCUUAUAAGUCCAGUCCCUUAGUUCCCAAUCAUGACCUGAGCCAGGGUGCUUUGAGAAAGUUCUGACUCCAUGAACUUGGGCUUAUCAACAUGGUUAGUUGCCAAAGCCCAAGUAAACAUGUGCUAGAGCCUUGUAAUUGGCCUCCACCCAAAUCCCAAGGCUUUCUCUCCAUCUGGUUACUUUUAAUAACGGCUGGAAUCUAAAAAGACAAAAGAAAAAUUCUAUAUCCUCUCUAUUUACACAUUAUUUCUUAAGUUGUGGCCCCAUUUUGGCCAUGCUAGUCCACAUCUAGAAAUAAGAGACCUGUGUUCUGACCUUUUACCAUAUCUUAUGGCCAGGGCACCAGCUUAGUGAUAAAUACUUUUUCACAUUGACAGCCCACCUACUUACCUGCUAAGACUCCCAAACAUAGCCUCCUCAUUGCUGUGUUUUUCCUACAACUGUGUGAUGCUUUACUUCAUCUUAAAUCUCCAUCAUCUUCUACUUGCUUAAACAAUGUUAAUAUAAAACCCCUUGGACACUGUACUGUACCCAACACCAGAACAUUCUUUCAAUCCUGUCUGGAACAAGUAUGUAAGAUGGAUGAUUCUUGGUAUUAAUGUUAUCAUUAGUAAAAAGAAUAUGAAAAUAUUUUGUUUAUUAAAUGCCAGGAACUGUG